GCGUGACGGCGCGAGCAGGUGCGAAAGCAGGUCAUAGUGAUCCGGUGGUUCUGAAUGGAAGGGCCAUCGCUCAACGGAUAAAAGGUACUCCGGGGAUAACAGGCUGAUACCGCCCAAGAGUUCAUAUCGACGGCGGUGUUUGGCACCUCGAUGUCGGCUCAUCACAUCCUGGGGCUGAAGUAGGUCCCAAGGGUAUGGCUGUUCGCCAUUUAAAGUGGUACGCGAGCUGGGUUUAGAACGUCGUGAGACAGUUCGGUCCCUAUCUGCCGUGGGCGCUGGAGAACUGAGGGGGGCUGCUCCUAGUACGAGAGGACCGGAGUGGACGCAUCACUGGUGUUCGGGUUGUCAUGCCAAUGGCACUGCCCGGUAGCUAAAUGCGGAAGAGAUAAGUGCUGAAAGCAUCUAAGCACGAAACUUGCCCCGA
This 424-nucleotide ribosomal RNA is filed under the name Salmonella enterica subsp. enterica serovar Senftenberg. RNAcentral describes it as "partial 23S ribosomal RNA". It matches the Rfam family "Bacterial large subunit ribosomal RNA", at positions 2379 to 2802 of the family's 2925-position model. The record is from RNAcentral. Lineage: Bacteria; Pseudomonadati; Pseudomonadota; Gammaproteobacteria; Enterobacterales; Enterobacteriaceae. RNAcentral also lists the same sequence under 5 other names.